ACGGAAGGCAGCAGUGGGGAAUAUUGCACAAUGGGCGCAAGCCUGAUGCAGCAACGCCGCGUGAGGGAAGACGGUUUUCGGAUUGUAAACCUCUGUCUUUGGUGACGAAGAAGUGACGGUGGCCAAGGAGGAAGCCACGGCUAACUACGUGCCAGCAGCCGCGGUAAUGCGUAGGUGGCAAGCGUUAUCCGGAAUUACUGGGUGUAAAGGGAGCGCAGGCGGGACAGCAAGUUGGAUGUGAAAUACCGAGGCUCAACUACGGAGCUGCAUCCAAAACUGUUGUUCUUGAGUGAAGUAGAGGUAGGCGGAAUUCCGAGUGUAGCGGUGAAAUGCGUAGAUAUUCGGAGGAACACCAGUGGCGAAGGCAGCCUACUGGGAUUUAACUGACGCUGAGGCUCGAAAGUGUGGGGAGCAAACAGGAUUAGAUACCCUGGUA
RNAcentral lists this ribosomal RNA (436 nucleotides) under uncultured Oscillospiraceae bacterium. RNAcentral's name for it is "bacterial SSU rRNA". It matches the Rfam family "Bacterial small subunit ribosomal RNA", at positions 341 to 792 of the family's 1533-position model. Lineage: Bacteria; Bacillati; Bacillota; Clostridia; Eubacteriales; Oscillospiraceae. The record is from RNAcentral.